GUUUUUAAAUAGUUUUAGAACAUGUAAUUUCUAGAAUAAGUUUCCUAAUAUUUUGCACCCUAAAGUAUAUCAGUAAAGAAGGCAGAAUCAUUUAAACUACAUGAUUUUACCGUGGCCGUGGUAUUCCUUUUUUACGCAAUCCUUUUCAGCAGCUGGGAAUUUAUGUUGCUAGCAUGUAGAUGAAAACAAGCAGAUACGUAGUAAGCUAUUUCUCUGAGGGUGAUUUAAAGCAUUUGUGAAACGUGCUCUGUUGCUGCUCCAGAUUGCUUUCUAAAGAUGCUAAAGGGACUUUCAAGCUUCCUAUGAUUCCUUUCAUAACUUCAGUUUUUUGACCAAGUCUCUUCUAACUUGACAUUAUUAGUUUCACACAGCUGUUUAUUUAUUUAUUUUCAAAGCAGGUACAAAUAAAUUCUUAUUGAUGUUUUACUACACAAGAUUUUUAACAUAUUUUUUCCACUGAAAACUCAAAAUCCUCUGAGGAGGGCCCAGGUUAUGGCAAUGCAUGCAUAACUUUCUUUCUUUUCCCUCUUGUGAAGCUGAUAUCACCUUAAACACUCUGAAGAGCUGAGGAAAACCUCUGCCUCAUUUAAUUACAGCUGUCUCAACAUGCAGGUGUAUUAUAUCAUUAUAUUAUUAGCUCCACAGGAACCACUGAGAGGAUGUAAAUCUUCUGUAUGAAUAUCAAAUGGGCUUCAGCUGAAACUUAUGUUUAUGCAGAAUAAAUGACUUUUAUUUACAGAUGCGUCUCAUGCAAUUAUGUGUGUCAGGCUAGUGAAGUGUGGCUGAUGUUGGAAGUCUUGGUGACCUAGCCAAAAUGAAGUCAGUAAAAAUGCAUGAGGUUUAUAUGCAACCAGUGGCCUCCUACACAAGUGCAAACAGGCUGGAAUUGCAUGAAGAUCAUUGGAAAACUGGGUGAAGUGCCACAGCCCCUUCAUAGCUAAGGAUUUCACCUCAAGGAAAGGCACAUGAAAGGACCUAGGUACUAAAAUUGACAUAUUCUGUGAUGGGUAAUAUAAGGAGAAUGCCAAAAAGGUUUUUGCCUUGGGCUAAUACAUGAAAUUACUGGUGAAGGAAUGAUGAGAAUUCAUAAUCAUAGCUAAGGUUAGAUGUGGUAAAAUAUGCUGCAUGUUCAAUGGUAGUUUUAAUUUUUACUAUGCCAAGAAUGAUAAUGUCUGUGAUACAUUUUCAAGUAUUUAAGACUUUCAAUUAUUAUGUAUUAAUUGAGAAUAUAUAGAAAUGCCUAAAG
This 1246-nucleotide long non-coding RNA is filed under the name Cyanistes caeruleus (blue tit). RNAcentral's name for it is "lncRNA (ENSCCEG00000008631.1)". The record is from RNAcentral. Lineage: Eukaryota; Metazoa; Chordata; Aves; Passeriformes; Paridae.